RNAcentral lists this non-coding RNA (31 nucleotides) under Mus musculus (house mouse). Lineage: Eukaryota; Metazoa; Chordata; Mammalia; Rodentia; Muridae. The record is from RNAcentral.
UUAUAAGAAGCAACAGGAAGAUACCAGUAAC